RNAcentral lists this non-coding RNA (26 nucleotides) under Rattus norvegicus (Norway rat). Lineage: Eukaryota; Metazoa; Chordata; Mammalia; Rodentia; Muridae. The record is from RNAcentral.
UACAUACAGGGGCCUCAUAGGACAUC